Molecule: transfer RNA, 77 nt
Filed under: Polaromonas vacuolata
Lineage: Bacteria; Pseudomonadati; Pseudomonadota; Betaproteobacteria; Burkholderiales; Comamonadaceae
Also listed under: 3 other names
Description: tRNA-Ile
Rfam family: tRNA
About the family: Transfer RNA (tRNA) molecules are approximately 80 nucleotides in length.
Source: RNAcentral
GGGUCUGUAGCUCAGCUGGUUAGAGCAUCGUCUUGAUAAGGCGGGGGUCGUUGGUUCGAGUCCAACCAGACCCACCA